GGAAUAGCGGCCCCACCCCUACCCCGAUCAAAGCCAGUUCUUCUUUUCCAAGUAGGAUCAUUUAUUCUUCUUCGUCUUAUAUGGGAAACACAUAGGAUCCUACAAGUUAGGCGGAUUCAAUUGAUCGAUUUUAUUUUUUAUGAAUCAGUGAUUUUGGCCUUAUCAUUAUUGCGGAUUCGAUUGGAUUCACCGGAAGGACCUUCUCGUAUUUUAGCAAUCGAAUUUUACUGGAAAAAUGGAGGACAUAGUCGUGGGAUUACUGAUGAUGAUGCUUCUUUUAUGUUUAAUUCCGCUUUAUUUAUGGAAACGCCGUGUCGAUUCUCGCUCCCCUAUCUGCACGAGGAAGAAACUCACGUCGAAUUUUCUUCUUUAAGCGCAGUUAAAUAAUUUGUAA
Molecule: long non-coding RNA, 394 nt
Filed under: Olea europaea subsp. europaea
Lineage: Eukaryota; Viridiplantae; Streptophyta; Magnoliopsida; Lamiales; Oleaceae
Source: RNAcentral